ACACAUGCAAGUCGAGGGGUAUAGUUCUUCGGAGCUAGAGACCGGCGCACGGGUGCGUAACGCGUAUGCAAUCUACCUUUUACAGAGGGAUAGCCCAGAGAAAUUUGGAUUAAUACCUCAUAGUAUGCAGAGUUGGCAUCANCANUGCAUUAAAGUCACAACGGUAAAAGAUGAGCAUGCGUCCCAUUAGCUAGUUGGUAAGGUAACGGCUUACCAAGGCUACGAUGGGUAGGGGUCCUGAGAGGGAGAUCCCCCACACUGGUACUGAGACACGGACCAGACUCCUACGGGAGGCAGCAGUGAGGAAUAUUGGACAAUGGGCGCAAGCCUGAUCCAGCCAUGCCGCGUGCAGGAUGACGGUCCUAUGGAUUGUAAACUGCUUUUGUACGAGAAGAAACACUGCUUCGUGAAGCAGCUUGACGGUAUCGUAAGAAUAAGGAUCGGCUAACUCCGUGCCAGCAGCCGCGGUAAUACGGAGGAUCCAAGCGUUAUCCGGAAUCAUUGGGUUUAAAGGGUCCGUAGGCGGUUUGGUAAGUCAGUGGUGAAAGCCCAUCGCUCAACGGUGGAACGGCCAUUGAUACUGCCAGACUUGAAUUAUUAGGAAGUAACUAGAAUAUGUAGUGUAGCGGUGAAAUGCUUAGAGAUUACAUGGAAUACCAAUUGCGAAGGCAGGUUACUACUAAUGGAUUGACGCUGAUGGACGAAAGCGUGGGUAGCGAACAGGAUUAGAUACCCUGGUAGUCCACGCCGUA
This 752-nucleotide ribosomal RNA is filed under the name bacterium 198_oclvp491. RNAcentral describes it as "bacterial SSU rRNA". It matches the Rfam family "Bacterial small subunit ribosomal RNA", at positions 51 to 804 of the family's 1533-position model. RNAcentral also lists the same sequence under 1 other name. The record is from RNAcentral.